This is a long non-coding RNA of Electrophorus electricus (electric eel), 754 nucleotides long. RefSeq lists it as uncharacterized. NCBI's taxonomy places the organism in Eukaryota, Metazoa, Chordata, Actinopteri, Gymnotiformes, Gymnotidae. The record is from RefSeq and is a predicted model, not a curated record.
UACUACUACUACUGCUGCAGCUGGAGAUAAAAUGUCUCCCAUUUUCCUCUCAAUCAUUGUUUUCAUAUACACUGCUGUAAUUAUGGGUUAACAUCAGAAACAUGCUUUCUCAAAUAUUUGACAUUGUAACAGGAACAGGUUUAACGUAAAUAGCCUGUCGCAUUUGGACUAGCGGGGAUGGGCGAAACCAGAACCAACAGGGAAGGUUCCUCAUUCAUGACCGCCCGGUUCUUUGAUAUUGAAACGUACACCCGUCUUUGGCUGGAAGACUGAGGCUUGAGGAGGCUCUCGGCAUAGCGCAGAGCGUGGUGCGUAGGACAUCUACUCCGCCUCGAGAAACACUUGGAACAAACCAUCUUGCUUUGCACAAGCUUCACGUCUGAAAACAUACGCCAUCUCCGAAAGGCAGAACAAGCAGCACAGAGAGGACUGUUGAUAUACGUAUGGUUUACUCCUCUUCUCUUGGAUGCCUUUCAAAACCUCAGCUUUAAACAUGCACACCCUCAAAAGGGUGAGCAAGACAGAAAAAUGGGGCUCCACCUCGGGAAAGGCAGGGGCACAGCCCACUGGAACUCUGCGCUCGGCUACUUCUGCCUGCUGUGGUAACAUCCCUGAGGCCUUCUCACUGUUCAGCGAGUCAGGCUGUCACUCUGAAUUAGGAGGCUACAUUAUCAAGACACGAUCAACACAACGUUGUUAACUGUGCAAAAAUUCCAGAAAAAAAAAAAAAUCAGAACACCAUCAUAAAGAAAUG